CCUACGGGUGGCAGCAGUGAGGAAUAUUGGUCAAUGGGCGCAGGCCUGAACCAGCCAAGUAGCGUGAGGGAAGACUGCCCUAUGGGUUGUAAACCUCUUUUAUACGGGGAGAAUGAUGACUACGUGUAGUUAUUUGCAGGUACCGCAUGAAUAAGCAUCGGCUAAUUCCGUGCCAGCAGCCGCGGUAAUACGGAGGAUCCGAGCGUUAUCCGGAUUUAUUGGGUUUAAAGGGUGCGUAGGGGGUAUUUUAAGUUAGUGGUAAAACGUCGGGGCUUCACCUUGAAUGGCCAUUGAAACUGGAAGACGAGAGUACAGUCGAGGUAGGCGGAAUAAGUGGUGUAGCGGUGAAAUGCUUAGAUAUAACGUAGAACCCCGAUAGCGAAGGCAGCUUACCAGACUGUUACUGACGCUGAUGCACGAGAGCGUGGGUAUCGAACAGGAUUAGAUACCCGGGUAGUC
Molecule: ribosomal RNA, 459 nt
Filed under: uncultured bacterium
Lineage: Bacteria
Description: partial 16S ribosomal RNA
Rfam family: Bacterial small subunit ribosomal RNA
Source: RNAcentral